This 253-nucleotide ribosomal RNA is filed under the name uncultured bacterium. RNAcentral's name for it is "partial 16S ribosomal RNA". It matches the Rfam family "Bacterial small subunit ribosomal RNA", at positions 524 to 776 of the family's 1533-position model. The record is from RNAcentral.
UACAGAGGGUGCAAGCGUUGUUCGGAAUUAUUGGGCGUAAAGGGAGUGUAGGCGGUUUCCUAAGUCUUCUGUGAAAUCUACGGGCUUAGCCUGUAACGUGCAGAGGAAACUGGGAGACUUGAGUGUCGGGGAGGAUAGGGGAAUACCCAGUGUAGAGGUGAAAUUCGUAGAGAUUGGGUGGAACACCAGUGGCGAAGGCGCCUGUCUGGCUGACAACUGACGCUGAGACUCGAAAGCAUGGGGAGCAAACAGG